ACAUGCAAGUCGAACGAGAAAGUGGAGCAAUCCAUGAGUACAGUGGCGACCGGGUGAGUAACACGUGACUAACCUACCUUCGAGUGGGGGAUAACCUCGGGAAACCGAGGCUAAUACCGCAUAACAUCGUGAGAUCAAAGCAGCAAUGCGCUGGAAGAGGGGGUCGCGGCUGAUUAGCUAGUUGGCGGGGUAACGGCCCACCAAGGCGAAGAUCGGUAGCCGGCCUGAGAGGGCGCACGGCCACACUGGAACUGAAACACGGUCCAGACUCCUACGGGAGGCAGCAGUGGGGAAUUUUGCGCAAUGGGGGAAACCCUGACGCAGCAACGCCGCGUGGAGGAUGAAGCCCCUUGGGGCGUAAACUCCUUUCGACCAAGACGAUAAUGACGGUACUGGUGGAAGAAGCACCGGCUAACUCUGUGCCAGCAGCCGCGGUAAUACAGAGGGUGCGAGCGUUGUUCGGAAUUAUUGGGCGUAAAGGGCGCGUAGGCGGCGCAGCAAGUCACUUGUGAAAUCUCCAAGCUUAACUUGGAGCCUGGAGGCGAAACUGCUGUGCU
Molecule: ribosomal RNA, 557 nt
Filed under: uncultured bacterium
Lineage: Bacteria
Description: bacterial SSU rRNA
Rfam family: Bacterial small subunit ribosomal RNA
Source: RNAcentral